This 251-nucleotide ribosomal RNA is filed under the name uncultured prokaryote. RNAcentral describes it as "partial 16S rRNA". It matches the Rfam family "Bacterial small subunit ribosomal RNA", at positions 525 to 775 of the family's 1533-position model. The record is from RNAcentral.
ACGUAGGGUGCGAGCGUUAAUCGGAAUUACUGGGCGUAAAGCGUGCGCAGGCGGUUGUGUAAGUCAGAUGUGAAAUCCCCGGGCUUAACCUGGGAAGUGCAUUGGAAACUGCGGGGCUUGAGUGCGGGAGAGGGGGGUGGAAUUCCCCGUGUAGAGGUGAAAUGCGUAGAGAUGUGGAGGAAUACCGAUGGCGAAGGCAGCCACCUGGGCCGUUACUGACGCUCAUGCGCGAAAGCGUGGGGAGCAAACAG